GAUGAACGCUGGCGGCGUGCCUAAUACAUGCAAGUCGAGCGAACAGACGAGGAGCUUGCUCCUCUGACGUUAGCGGCGGACGGGUGAGUAACACGUGGAUAACCUACCUAUAAGACUGGGAUAACUUCGGGAAACCGGAGCUAAUACCGGAUAAUAUAUUGAACCGCAUGGUUCAAUAGUGAAAGACGGUUUUGCUGUCACUUAUAGAUGGAUCCGCGCCGCAUUAGCUAGUUGGUAAGGUAACGGCUUACCAAGGCAACGAUGCGUAGCCGACCUGAGAGGGGGAUCGGCCGCACUGGAACUGAGACACGGUCCAGACUCCUACGGGAGGCAGCAGUAGGGAAUCUUCCGCAAUGGGCGAAAGCCUGACGGAGCAACGCCGCGUGAGUGAUGAAGGUCUUCGGAUCGUAAAACGCUGUUAUUAGGGAAGAACAAAUGUGUAAGUAACUAUGCACGUCUUGACGGUACCUAAUCAGAAAGCCACGGCUAACUACGU
This 496-nucleotide ribosomal RNA is filed under the name uncultured bacterium. RNAcentral describes it as "partial 16S ribosomal RNA". It matches the Rfam family "Bacterial small subunit ribosomal RNA", at positions 28 to 506 of the family's 1533-position model. The record is from RNAcentral.